Molecule: ribosomal RNA, 773 nt
Filed under: uncultured Neocallimastigales
Lineage: Eukaryota; Fungi; Neocallimastigomycota; Neocallimastigomycetes; Neocallimastigales
Description: partial large subunit ribosomal RNA
Rfam family: Eukaryotic large subunit ribosomal RNA
Source: RNAcentral
GUACACGCUGUGACUAGCAUAUCAAUAGCGGAGGAAAAGAAACUAACAAGGAUUCCCCUAGUAACGGCGAGUGGAGCGGGAAGAGCUCAAAUUUGAAAUCUUAAAGGGUUUCCCUUUACGAAUUGUAGUUUAAAGAAGUGUUUUCUGUUGAGGUUUUGGUAAAAGUUCUUUGGAAUAGGACAUCAUAGAGGGUGAGAAUCCCGUAUUUGACCUUUACUUUCAACUUUGUGAUACACUUUCAAAGAGUCGGAUUGUUUGGGAAUGCAGUCCAAAAUGGGUGGUAAAUUUCAUCUAAAGCUAAAUAUUGGCGAGAGACCGAUAGCGAACAAGUACCGUGAGGGAAAGAUGAAAAGAACUUUGAAAAGAGAGUUAAACAGUACGUGAAAUUGUCAAAAGGGAAGCGUUUGACAUCAGUGUUGUUUUUCUGAAAAUCAAUUAAAGAACUGUUUAUGCUAAGUUGUUUAGACUUUAUCAGCUAUCUGUUUAGUUUUGAGCUUUUCUUUAAUGCACUUUUCAGUUAACAAGUCAACAUCAAUUUCUUUUGCUGUAAAAAAGCUUGAGGAAGGUGGCUUGAGAUUCGUCUUAAGUGUUUAUAGCCUCUUGCCUAUGCAGUCGGAGAGAUUGAGGUCUGCAGCGUAGAUCCUUCGGGGCUAAAUGCAUUUGUGCUAAGUUAUAACAUUUUAUAGACAACUUGUUGACUAUGAUUUGUCUUGUAGCUUACUCGCUUAUGUUAUUUUACCUACGCUUAGGAUGUUGAAGUCAUCGUAUCGCGC